This 214-nucleotide long non-coding RNA is filed under the name Hordeum vulgare. RNAcentral's name for it is "long non-coding RNA (HVUL_LNC011976)". Lineage: Eukaryota; Viridiplantae; Streptophyta; Magnoliopsida; Poales; Poaceae. The record is from RNAcentral.
GAGUAUGGUAAUUCGAGUUGCUUCGUUGUCAAGUGGUGAUUUCAUAUCUUGUCUAAGCAUUGUUCUCAUAUUUUACGAGAAUGCUAAUUAUUUUGCUCAAUCAAGUUGUCUUAUCAAUUCAUUUCAAACCUGAGUUGUCAUGUCAGUUCUCUUCAACCGGCGUGCUUCUCUUCUUGAUAAUUCAAUCCUUUCUAAUAUUUGCAAGAUCUAUCCU